AGAUAAAUAAGUCUGGAGAUGCCAGGUCCAGUGCUGGAGUCUCAGGAGGGAGUGCUCUGGGGCACCACAACCAUGGUCUGGACUCUGCUUGUCCUCACACUCCUCAGUCAGGGUUUCCAGGCCCAGUCUGCUCUGACUCAGCCUCCUUCUAUCUCUGGAACUCCUGGACAGUCAGUCACCAUAUCCUGUGCUGGAACCAGCAGUGACAUUGGGAAAUAUAAUUAUGUCUCUUGGUACCAACAUCGUCCAGGAACAACCCAUAAACUCAUGAUUUAUGAUGUUAGUAAUCGUCCCUCAGGGAUCCCUUCUCACUUCUCUGGCUCCAAGACUGGCAACACAGCCUCUCUGGCCAUCUCUGGGCUGCAGCUGGAGGAUGAGGCUGACUACUACUGCUGUUCAUAUGCAGGCAAUGAAAAUUACCACAGUGGGCCAAGUUGA
Non-coding RNA from Marmota flaviventris (yellow-bellied marmot), 438 nucleotides. NCBI's taxonomy places the organism in Eukaryota, Metazoa, Chordata, Mammalia, Rodentia, Sciuridae. The record is from the annotation of a RefSeq genome assembly.